UACGGGGGGAGCAAGCGUUGUUCGGAUUUACGUGGCGUAAAGGGCGCGUAGGCGGUCGUGACAAGUCACUUGUGAAAUCUCCGGGCUUAACUCGGAACGGUCAAGUGAUACUGUCGGACUAGAGUGCAGAAGGGGCAACUGGAAUUCUCGGUGUAGCGGUGAAAUGCGUAGAUAUCGAGAGGAACACCUGCGGCGAAGGCGGGUUGCUGGGCUGACACUGACGCUGAGGCGCGAAAGCCAGGGGAGCGAACGGG
RNAcentral lists this ribosomal RNA (254 nucleotides) under uncultured bacterium. RNAcentral describes it as "partial 16S ribosomal RNA". It matches the Rfam family "Bacterial small subunit ribosomal RNA", at positions 524 to 776 of the family's 1533-position model. The record is from RNAcentral.